UUAAGUGAAUAAGGGCGCACGGUGGAUGCCUUGGCACUAGGAGCCGAUGAAGGACGGGACUAACACCGAUAUGCUUUGGGGAGCUGUAAGUAAGCUAUGAUCCAGAGAUUUCCGAAUGGGGGAACCCAAUAUCUUUUAUAGGAUAUUACUUUUCAGUGAAUACAUAGCUGAUUAGAGGUAGACGCAGAGAACUGAAACAUCUUAGUACCUGCAGGAAGAGAAAGAAAAUUCGAUUCCCUGAGUAGCGGCGAGCGAAACGGGAAGAGCCCAAACCAACAAGCUUGCUUGUUGGGGUUGUAGGACUCCAAUAUGGUAGUCUGUUAGUAUAGUUGAAGGAUUUGGAAAAUUCCGCUAAAGAGGGUGAAAGCCCCGUAGACGAAAUGCUAACAACACCUAGGAGGAUCCUGAGUACGGCGGAACACGAGAAAUUCCGUCGGAAUCCGCGGGGACCAUCCCGCAAGGCUAAAUACUCCCUAGUGACCGAUAGUGAACCAGUACCGUGAGGGAAAGGUGAAAAGCACCCCGGAAGGGGAGUGAAAUAGAUCCUGAAACCGUGUGCCUACAACAAGUCAAAGCUCGUUAAUGAGUGAUGGCGUGCCUUUUGUAGAAUGAACCGGCGAGUUACGAUUGCAUGCGAGGUUAAGUCGAAGAGACGGAGCCGCAGCGAAAGCGAGUCUGAAUAGGGCGAAUGAGUAUGUAGUCGUAGACCCGAAACCAUGUGAUCUACCCAUGUCCAGGUUGAAGGUGCGGUAAAACGCACUGGAGGACCGAACCCACGUACGUUGAAAAGUGCGGGGAUGAGGUGUGGGUAGCGGAGAAAUUCCAAACGAACUUGGAGAUAGCUGGUUCUCUCCGAAAUAGCUUUAGGGCUAGCCUCGGAAUUGAGAAUGAUGGAGGUAGAGCACUGUUUGGACUAGGGGCCCAUCUCGGGUUACCGAAUUCAGAUAAACUCCGAAUGCCAUUCAUUUAUAUCCGGGAGUCAGACUGCGAGUGAUAAGAUCCGUAGUCGAAAGGGAAACAGCCCAGACCACCAGCUAAGGUCCCAAAAUAUAUGUUAAGUGGAAAAGGAUGUGGGGUUGCACAGACAACUAGGAUGUUGGCUUAGAAGCAGCCACCAUUUAAAGAGUGCGUAAUAGCUCACUAGUCGAGUGACCCUGCGCCGAAAAUGUACCGGGGCUAAACAUAUUACCGAAGCUGUGGACUACACCAUUAGGUGUAGUGGUAGGAGAGCGUUCUAAGGGCGUUGAAGGUCGAUCGUGAGGACGGCUGGAGCGCUUAGAAGUGAGAAUGCCGGUAUGAGUAGCGAAAGACAGGUGAGAAUCCUGUCCACCGUAUGACUAAGGUUUCCUGGGGAAGGCUCGUCCGCCCAGGGUUAGUCGGGACCUAAGCCGAGGCCGAUAGGCGUAGGCGAUGGACAACAGGUUGAUAUUCCUGUACCAGUUGUUUUUGUUUGAGCAAUGGAGGGACGCAGUAGGCUAAGGAAUGCAUGCGAUUGGAAGUGCAUGUCCAAGCAAUGAGUCUUGAGUAGAGUUAAAUGCUUUACUCUUUAAGGACAAGUUGUGACGGGGAGCGAAAUAAUAGUAGCGAAGUUCCUGAUGUCACACUGCCAAGAAAAGCUUCUAGUGAGAAAACAACUGCCCGUACCGUAAACCGACACAGGUAGUCGAGGAGAGUAUCCUAAGGUGAGCGAGCGAACUCUCGUUAAGGAACUCGGCAAAAUGACCCCGUAACUUCGGGAGAAGGGGUGCUGACUUCGGUCAGCCGCAGUGAAUAGGCCCAAGCGACUGUUUAUCAAAAACACAGGUCUCUGCAAAAUCGUAAGAUGAAGUAUAGGGGCUGACGCCUGCCCGGUGCUGGAAGGUUAAGAGGAUGGGUUAGCUUCGGCGAAGCUCAGAAUUGAAGCCCCAGUAAACGGCGGCCGUAACUAUAACGGUCCUAAGGUAGCGAAAUUCCUUGUCGGGUAAGUUCCGACCCGCACGAAAGGCGUAACGAUUUGGGCACUGUCUCAACGAGAGACUCGGUGAAAUUUUAGUACCUGUGAAGAUGCAGGUUACCCGCGACAGGACGGAAAGACCCCAUGGAGCUUUACUGUAGUUUGAUAUUGAGUGUUUGUACCACAUGUACAGGAUAGGUAGGAGCCGAUGAGACCGGAACGCUAGUUUCGGAGGAGGCGCUGGUGGGAUACUACCCUUGUGUUAUGAACCCUCUAACCCGCACCACUAAUCGUGGUGGGAGACAGUGUCAGAUGGGCAGUUUGACUGGGGCGGUCGCCUCCUAAAAGGUAACGGAGGCGCCCAAAGGUUCCCUCAGAAUGGUUGGAAAUCAUUCGAAGAGUGUAAAGGCAGAAGGGAG
Molecule: ribosomal RNA, 2352 nt
Filed under: Enterococcus faecalis EnGen0194
Lineage: Bacteria; Bacillati; Bacillota; Bacilli; Lactobacillales; Enterococcaceae
Description: bacterial LSU rRNA
Rfam family: Bacterial large subunit ribosomal RNA
Source: RNAcentral